RNAcentral lists this ribosomal RNA (967 nucleotides) under Agelas clathrodes. RNAcentral's name for it is "SSU rRNA". It matches the Rfam family "Eukaryotic small subunit ribosomal RNA", at positions 37 to 1001 of the family's 1831-position model. The record is from RNAcentral. Lineage: Eukaryota; Metazoa; Porifera; Demospongiae; Agelasida; Agelasidae.
CUCAAGACUAAGCCAUGCAUGUCUAAGUAUAAACGCUUCUAUACUGUGAAACUGCGAAUGGCUCAUUAAAUCAGUUAUAGUUUAUUUGAUGGUUCCUUACUACUUGGAUAACCGUAGUAAUUCUAGAGCUAAUACAUGCAGAAAGUCCCGACUUCUUGGAAGGGAUGUAUUUAUUAGAUCCAAAACCAGCGCGAGUUUCCUUCGGGGGCUCGGUUGCAUGGUGAUUCAUGAUAACUGCUCGAAUCGCAUGGCCUUGCGCCGGCGAUGAUCCAUUCAAAUUUCUGCCCUAUCAACUUUCGAUGGCAAGGUAGUGGCUUGCCAUGGUGACAACGGGUGACGGAGAAUUAGGGUUCGAUUCCGGAGAGGGAGCCUGAGAAACGGCUACCACAUCCAAGGAAGGCAGCAGGCGCGCAAAUUACCCAAUCCCGACUCGGGGAGGUAGUGACAAUAAAUAACAAUGCUGGGCUAUCGUAGUCUGGCAAUUGGAAUGAGUACAAUCUAAACCCCUUAACGAGGAACAAUUGGAGGGCAAGUCUGGUGCCAGCAGCCGCGGUAAUUCCAGCUCCAAUAGCGUAUAUUAAAGUUGUUGCAGUUAAAAAGCUCGUAGUUGGAUUUCGGGGCAGCCCGGCUGGUCCGUCGCAAGGCGAGUACUGGUCGGCCGCCCUUCCUCUCGAAAGCCCCGACUGCUCUUCACUGUAGUGGUCGGGGAGUUCGGGACGUUUACUUUGAAAAAAUUAGAGUGUUCAAGGCAGGCCAUCGCCUGAAUACAUUAGCAUGGAAUAAUGGAAGAGGACCUCGGUCCUAUUUUGUUGGUUUCUAGGGCCGAAGUAAUGAUUAAGAGGGACAGUUGGGGGCAUUCGUAUUUAAUUGUCAGAGGUGAAAUUCUCGGAUUUAUGAAAGACGAACAACUGCGAAAGCAUUUGCCAAGGAUGUUUUCAUUAAUCAAGAACGAAAGUUAGGGGUUCGA